RNAcentral lists this long non-coding RNA (359 nucleotides) under Nicotiana benthamiana. Its description in RNAcentral is "long non-coding RNA (NBEN_LNC014308)". The record is from RNAcentral. Lineage: Eukaryota; Viridiplantae; Streptophyta; Magnoliopsida; Solanales; Solanaceae.
AGUUUAUGAGGAGCCAUCACAGUCUUUGGAGUCUUGUGGUGAAUAUGGAGGAGAGUUGAUGUUGUCAUCUGGAAAUAACAAUCAAACUAUCAAGGCAAAUUUGAGGGGGAUGGCAAUUAAAUCUAAGCUGUGGGUAGACCAACGCUAGUAGGAGGAUGAGGAAGACUAUGGUGAUGCGUAUGCUGGGAAUUCGAGUGAAGAGGAUGACCAAGAGCGUGAAGAUGAAGGUGUGCUCUCUAUUGGCUCACCAUCAGUACCUAAAAUUGGCAUGGAAUUCGAGUGAAGAGGAUGACCAAGAGCAUGAACAUGACGGUGUGAUCUCUAUUGGCUCACCAUCAGUACCUAAAAUUGGCAGCUCC